This 440-nucleotide ribosomal RNA is filed under the name uncultured bacterium. RNAcentral describes it as "partial 16S ribosomal RNA". It matches the Rfam family "Bacterial small subunit ribosomal RNA", at positions 338 to 795 of the family's 1533-position model. The record is from RNAcentral.
CCUACGGGUGGCUGCAGUGGGGAAUAUUGCACAAUGGGGGGAACCCUGAUCCAGCAACGCCGCGUGGGUGACGAAGUACUUAGGUAUGUAAAGCCCUGUCAGCCGGGAGGAAAAUGCCGGUACCUGACCAAGACGCCCCGGCUAACUACGUGCCAGCAGCCGCGGUAAUGCGUAGGGGGCAGGCGUUAUCCGGAUUUACUGGGUGUAAAGGGAGCGUAGACGGGAAGGCAAGUCUGGAGUGAAAGCCCGGGGCAUAACCACGGGACUGCUGUGGAAACUGGGUGGCUGGAGUGCAGGAGGGGUAAGCGGAAUGCGUAGUGUAGCGGUGAAAUGCGUAGAUAUUAGGAGGAACACCGGUGGCGAAGGCGGCUUACUGGACUGUAACUGACGUUGAGGCUCGAAGGCGUGGGGAGCAAACAGGAUUAGAUACCCUAGUAGUC